RNAcentral lists this ribosomal RNA (975 nucleotides) under Triticum aestivum (bread wheat). RNAcentral's name for it is "partial small subunit ribosomal RNA". The record is from RNAcentral. Lineage: Eukaryota; Viridiplantae; Streptophyta; Magnoliopsida; Poales; Poaceae.
AUGGCACACCACACGACCAUCGUAUUCUCGGCGGCAGCGGCGCUGCUGCUGCUGCUGCUACCGCCGUGUGCCGGAGCAGCAGCUGCACCGGUGCCGGUGAUAGGGAUGCCGGGCUGCGAGACCAGGUGCGGCGACAUGGUCGUGCCGUAUCCGUUCGGCAUGGGCCCGUCCUACUGCUACCUGCCGGGGUUUAACCUCACUUGCGAUUGGUUAAGCGACCCACCGCGGCUCCUCCUCGGCGACGGCACCCUCCAGGUCGCCGAAGACAUCGGCUACCCCAGCGAUGCCACGCUAGCCGUCGUCUACGCCGGCAACAUCCCGACCGACGGCAACGGGCAAGGCAGGCUCGGCGGUGGCCUCGGCGAUGGUGGGCCGUACGCGCUGCCGCCGGCCGGGAACCAGCUCGUCCUCGUGGGCUGCAACGUGCGGGCCACGCUGAGGAGCGGCAACCUCACAAUGAGCAGCUGCUCCUCCUUCUGCCACGACGGGCGCACAUCCUACAUGAAGUCUGGUAAGAGCAGCAUGCUCUGCUCCGGCAUGGGCUGCUGCCAGGCGCCCAUCGUCGUCAACCGCGAGGUGGCCGCCGGAGGAAAGCUCGUCCCCAUCACGUCCUACGACGUGGAGAUCGAGUGCUUUGGGCGGAACCGCAGCGACGGCCAGCGGUGGCCUGCACGCGUCUUCGUCGCCAAGAAAGGCUGGAUCACGACAUGGAGCGCCUCUAAACAACUGUCGUCGGACCCGCAAGCCGCCGCGGACAUGGAAGUUCCCCUUUGGCUCAACUGGGAGGUCAUCGAUGGCGAUGCCGACGACACAGGUCAGCUGCAGAGGUCGAAGGAGUGUCCUAAGGACGCGGCACGUAGAAUCUGCAAGAGCAACCACACGCGCUGCACAAGAGGUGACAGAGGCGGCUACUUGUGCUCCUGUAAGCAAGGUUACCAGGGCAAUGCCUACAUCACCAACGGAUGCCAAGGUUAA